The sequence is a transfer RNA, 84 nucleotides long. It matches the Rfam family "tRNA". Rfam says of the family: Transfer RNA (tRNA) molecules are approximately 80 nucleotides in length. Their secondary structure includes four short double-helical elements and three loops (D, anti-codon, and T loops). Further hydrogen bonds mediate the characteristic L-shaped molecular structure. tRNAs have two regions of fundamental functional importance: the anti-codon, which is responsible for specific mRNA codon recognition, and the 3' end, to which the tRNAs corresponding amino acid is attached (by aminoacyl-tRNA synthetases). tRNAs cope with the degeneracy of the genetic code in two manners: having more than one tRNA (with a specific anti-codon) for a particular amino acid; and 'wobble' base-pairing, i.e. permitting non-standard base-pairing at the 3rd anti-codon position. The record is from Rfam.
GCCCUUGUAGUUUAGUGGUUUAUAAUUUCUCACUUGUAUUGCGUACAAAUGAGAGGGUCUCGAGUUCGAAUCUCGACGGGGGCU